Molecule: ribosomal RNA, 122 nt
Filed under: Clostridioides difficile
Lineage: Bacteria; Bacillati; Bacillota; Clostridia; Peptostreptococcales; Peptostreptococcaceae
Description: partial 16S ribosomal RNA
Rfam family: Bacterial small subunit ribosomal RNA
Source: RNAcentral
UUAUUUGAGAGUUUGAUCCUGGCUCAGGAUGAACGCUGGCGGCGUGUCUAACACAUGCAAGUUGAGCGAUUUACUUCGGUAAAGAGCGGCGGACGGGUGAGUAACGCGUGGGUAACCUACCC